This 440-nucleotide ribosomal RNA is filed under the name uncultured bacterium. RNAcentral's name for it is "partial 16S ribosomal RNA". It matches the Rfam family "Bacterial small subunit ribosomal RNA", at positions 338 to 795 of the family's 1533-position model. The record is from RNAcentral.
CCUACGGGAGGCAGCAGUGGGGAAUAUUGCACAAUGGGGGAAACCCUGAUGCAGCGACGCCGCGUGAGUGAGGAAGUAUUUCGGUAUGUAAAGCUCUAUCAGCAGGGAAGAAAAUGACGGUACCUGACUAAGAAGCCCCGGCUAACUACGUGCCAGCAGCCGCGGUAAUACGUAGGGGGCAAGCGUUAUCCGGAUUUACUGGGUGUAAAGGGAGCGUAGACGGCUAAUCAAGUCAGAAGUGAAAACCCAGGGUUCAACUUUGGGACUGCUUUUGAAACUGAGUAGCUAGAGUACAGGAGAGGUAAGCGGAAUUCCUAGUGUAGCGGUGAAAUGCGUAGAUAUUAGGAGGAACACCAGUGGCGAAGGCGGCUUACUGGACUGUAACUGACGUUGAGGCUCGAAAGCGUGGGGAGCAAACAGGAUUAGAUACCCUAGUAGUC